UACAGAGGUCCCAAGCGUUGUUCGGAUUCACUGGGCGUAAAGGGUGCGUAGGCGGUCGGGUAAGUCUGAUGUGAAAACUCCAGGCUCAACUUGGAGAUUGCAUCAGAAACUGCCGUGCUAGAGUGUGGGAGAGGAGAGUGGAAUUCCUGGUGUAGCGGUGAAAUGCGUAGAUAUCAGGAGGAACACCGGUGGCGAAGGCGGCUCUCUGGACCACAACUGACGCUGAGGCGCGAAAGCCAGGGGAGCGAACAGG
RNAcentral lists this ribosomal RNA (253 nucleotides) under uncultured bacterium. Its description in RNAcentral is "partial 16S ribosomal RNA". It matches the Rfam family "Bacterial small subunit ribosomal RNA", at positions 524 to 776 of the family's 1533-position model. The record is from RNAcentral.